AGCUGAAGUCCAAUCAACUUGAAACUUAGUAAACUUGUUGCUUAUGAUAUGAUCGUUUUAAUUUUAAAGCCAAAUUAGACUUUUGACCCCAAUUUCACGGUCCACUAAACAUAGAAAAUGAAAGUGGGAGUUUCAGGUUAAAGUUUUUGGUCAAGGUAGUUUUUGAUAAAAUUGAAGUCCAAUCAACUUGAACCUUAGUACAUAUGUUCCCUAUAGUAUAAUCUUUCUAAUUCUAAUGCCAAAUUAGAUUAAUACCCAAUUUCACGGUCCAUGGAACAUGGUAAAGCAUAGUGCGAGUGGGGCAU
RNAcentral lists this long non-coding RNA (305 nucleotides) under Mytilus galloprovincialis (Mediterranean mussel). Lineage: Eukaryota; Metazoa; Mollusca; Bivalvia; Mytilida; Mytilidae. The record is from RNAcentral.